GUGUCAGCAGCCGCGGUAAGACGAACCACACAAACGUUAUUCGGAAUUACUGGGCUUAAAGGGUGCGUAGGCUGUGCAGAAAGUUAGGUGUGAAAUCCCCCGGCUCAACCGGGGAAUUGCGCUUAAAACUACUGUGCUAGAGGAAGACAGAGGUGAGCGGAACUUCGGGUGGAGCGGUGAAAUGCGUUGAUAUCCGAAGGAACACCGGUGGCGAAAGCGGCUCACUGGGUCUUUUCUGACGCUGAUGCACGAAAGCUAGGGGAGCAAACGGGAUUAGAAACCCCCGUAGUCC
This 292-nucleotide ribosomal RNA is filed under the name uncultured bacterium. RNAcentral's name for it is "partial 16S ribosomal RNA". It matches the Rfam family "Bacterial small subunit ribosomal RNA", at positions 505 to 796 of the family's 1533-position model. The record is from RNAcentral.